Molecule: non-coding RNA, 683 nt
Organism: Peromyscus maniculatus bairdii (prairie deer mouse)
Lineage: Eukaryota; Metazoa; Chordata; Mammalia; Rodentia; Cricetidae
Source: RefSeq, a predicted model, not a curated record
UGCUGGGCCUUCUCUCCAGCCCCAACAAUCUUUUUUGUUUUUAUUUUUUUUCUACUAAGGGGCCUGGGAAACAAAUCAUUAGCCAAUUAUGUCACCCACAGAAGGGACAGGAUUGGAUAAGACAUUAACCUGGGCUUGUGACAGCACAGCAUAGUGACAGAACAAUAAGAACUAUAUAGAGACCCUGAGUAAUUCAUUCUCUCUCUCUCUCUCUCUCUCUCUCUCUCUCUCUCUCUCUCUCUCUCUCUCUCUCUCCUCUCUCUCUUCCUCUCCCUCUCUCCCUCUCUGACACACACCCACACACCCACACCCACACCUCCCUAAGAUAUGAGCAAACAUUGGCAAAGACAUGAGUUGGUAAGAAGUCCUAUGGAUGGCAGCCUGAAAGAUGGCUGCCACUGAUCUCUGCCUGCGAGCACUAUGGCCCUCAUGGAAGCCUCUGCCCCUGUCAUAGGCUGGACUUACUAACUCAGAACAUCAAAGAACCAGGUAAUGUGCAAAUCGAUAUUAUCUGAACAUGGAGUCUUAAGCCAGCAAGAUGGCUCAGUGAGGAAAGCCACUUGCCUGCUUGGACAAGCAACAAUCUGCAACAAGUUUUCUCACAGUGAAGACACUUUCAGGGUUUCUCUUUGGUAUGAAUUAGCAGGUGCUAUACAAGAUGUUUCUGCCUGGAAAAGAUUUUC